This 73-nucleotide transfer RNA is filed under the name Camelus dromedarius (Arabian camel). It matches the Rfam family "tRNA". From Rfam's summary of the family: Transfer RNA (tRNA) molecules are approximately 80 nucleotides in length. Their secondary structure includes four short double-helical elements and three loops (D, anti-codon, and T loops). Lineage: Eukaryota; Metazoa; Chordata; Mammalia; Artiodactyla; Camelidae. The record is from Rfam by way of RNAcentral. RNAcentral also lists the same sequence under 1 other name.
AAGGGUAUAGCUCAAGUGGUAGAGCGCAUGCUUAGCAUGCAUGAGGUCCUGGGUUCAAGCCCCAGUACCUCCA